GCUUAAAUGGCUCCCUGACCUGACUUAAAAAUAGGAUGGCAAUACAUCAAACAAGAAGACUAUAAGUAUUGAGAUGGACCAAGUGAAACCUGAGCCUACCAAAGCUGACAGAUUGCGCAAGAAACACAUUGGAAGAUUCAUUUUCUGGAAAGUAGAAAAGGGCUGUUACAUACUGUUAUCACAGCCAUGACAGAAACCAUAUUGAGGAGCUUGUCUGCCUGUAGGAAGAAAUGCGCUACUGGUUGGAGCAGCACUAUUCCCUGGCCAUACACCAGCACUUUGUUUGUCAUAGAGAGCAUUUCUGAGCAGUUAUGGAGACCACUAACUAUGCAGGUGUCACAGUGAAAUUUGCACCAGUUUGUUUUCUGUGGAGACAAAGAGAUAGUGUCCAGCAAUGAAAACCCAACUCAAGAUCUAACCUUGUUAUGCCAAU
This is a long non-coding RNA of Mya arenaria, 433 nucleotides long. RefSeq lists it as uncharacterized. The transcript is spliced from 3 exons. The record is from RefSeq and is a predicted model, not a curated record. Lineage: Eukaryota; Metazoa; Mollusca; Bivalvia; Myida; Myidae.